GAGAAUACAUUACAAUAAACCUUUUCACAACAGUGACCACAUAACUAAACAAAAGUGAUUUUUAUUUUCACAUAGAAUAAAUUAUGUAAGACGAUAAACGACUACAAUUAACCAGGAGUUUCAAGACCGUGUUUGAGAUAACUUAUCUAAAGGGAUUAGCUUUUCGCAGCAAAUCGCAUUAACAGGAGAGUUUCAUACGUAAAGACCCGUCUUUUUCGUCAAUUAAUAGGGAUCAAAAAACGAGAGAAUUUAAGCAAAGUAUUGAAGGAACUUGACACCGAUGUCUCCAACAACUUGGGUCUGAGUGGGCAAAGUACCGUUGGGGAAAGAGUUCAAGGUAGUGUUCAAAGCACUUGCAAAGGUGAAGGCAGGCUCAACGAGAGGGCUGUAACCAGAAGUGAAAGUAGCGACACAUUGUCCAUAAAUAUAGAAGGGACCAUAGUUGGGGAAAGCGGAAAGGGGAGCAUACUUCCAGCUCUCGAUGGUGCUAGCCAACUUGUAGCAGUCGCUCUUGGUUUGAGUGUCAAUGAAAAGGGUGGCAUUAGCAGCACCGGUGGUGUUGCUGCUGAUCUCGUUGAGGCUAUGAGCAAUAUAGGUUCCCCAUCCGAGUUCAUCAACAGUCCAGUUCUUUCCGAACAAGCUAACAAUGCUAGUCAAGUCGUACUCGUAGCUGUAUUUGGCCCAGAGAGCCAAUGUACCAACCAAAGCGUCAGGAACGACCUCCUUGGUAGGGUUAACAUCAUCGAAGGCAGUGAAGGCAGCAGCGAAUUCGAUCAAGUCACCCUUCUCCAAAGCGCUGACAGCAGUGCACCAGUCACGAGAGGUACGAUUGUUAAUACCGUAUUGAGUAUCGAUAAUCUCGACACCUAAAGCGGUGUCAAAGAGUUCAUUGGCAAUAUCCCAGUGGUGAAUAGGACCAUUAAGACGGAACUUGAGAGCAUCACGAACCUUAGAGAAAGUACCCCUAGUAGUCCUGUUGAAACGGGUGUCAGGGGAAAGAGGGCCACUGGUGUAGCAAGAAGUGUUGGUGUAGCUAACAACCAAGGUGUUAUCAGGAGUGGGAACACUUGAGUUAGAAGCGUUGGCACCAUAAGCGGUGGUGAGGGAACCCAAGGAGAGGGCACCCAACAAGGUCCAAACGAAUGACUUCAUUGAAUUGAUUGAAAAAAAAAAAAAAGAGAGAGAGAGAAAGCGAAAAUUAAAAUAAUAAAAAUAAAAAACUUAUUAUGUCUAGAAAGACCGUUUAACUAGUAACGACUGCGUUUAAUAGGGACGGAUGUUUUUAGCCACCAAAGUGUUAGCAAAAUCCCUUUACUUUUUGAGCAAUUUCGAAAUUGCAAUACUUUUCCUUGUCCUAAUUGAACAAUGCAAGCAUCAUGACCAGCCUUCCUAUAUAUAUCGUUUCCGCAGAACUUCCGGACUUUUCACAAUUUGUGUAUGAUUCUUCCGUGAUCCGCAGCCGACUAUUCGCAUCAGUUCUAAGAACAUUGUUGCUCAGCCGUCCACCUAUCUUCCAUACGCUAGAAAAAUAGUGAAACUUUUGCAGGCUUAGACAUGGGGCAAUGGCCACAUUCCAUACGAAAAUAGAAUCAUCUGGUUCUUGAACUGCAUAUCCGUGAGGGCCAACUUUUGGUAUUUUUCAACACAGGAUGGAUUGGAAGAGGCUUUGUGUUUCCAGGAUUUAUUUUUAACAGUAUUCAUUUUUUUUCAAUUGAUCGUUUUUUCUCUCAAAAGCCAUGAACUGCCGGUUAGGCUAGACAGGCGACUGCUUAUUUUAAAUUUAGGUUAUCACAUUUUCCUUUAGAAAUUCUUUUUAUUUAUUUAUUUUAUUUAUUAUUAUUUUUUUAUUUUUUUAACAAUAAAUCUUUGCUAUGAAUCCCAGAA
Molecule: non-coding RNA, 1884 nt
Organism: Schizosaccharomyces pombe (fission yeast)
Lineage: Eukaryota; Fungi; Ascomycota; Schizosaccharomycetes; Schizosaccharomycetales; Schizosaccharomycetaceae
Source: the annotation of a GenBank genome assembly